This 607-nucleotide unclassified non-coding RNA is filed under the name Aspergillus fumigatus. RNAcentral describes it as "sequence contains 18S rRNA gene, ITS1, 5.8S rRNA gene, ITS2, 28S rRNA gene". The stretch from base 223 to 376 matches the Rfam family "5.8S ribosomal RNA". The record is from RNAcentral. Lineage: Eukaryota; Fungi; Ascomycota; Eurotiomycetes; Eurotiales; Aspergillaceae.
GGAUCUCGUUACGUGAACCGGCGGAAGAGAUCAUUACCGAGUGAUGGGCCCUCUGGGUCCAACCUCCCACCCGUGUCUAUCGUACCUUGUUGCUUCGGCGGGCCCGCCGUUUCGACGGCCGCCGGGGAGGCCUUGCGCCCCCGGGCCCGCGCCCGCCGAAGACCCCAACAUGAACGCUGUUCUGAAAGUAUGCAGUCUGAGUUGAUUAUCGUAAUCAGUUAAAACUUUCAACAACGGAUCUCUUGGUUCCGGCAUCGAUGAAGAACGCAGCGAAAUGCGAUAAGUAAUGUGAAUUGCAGAAUUCAGUGAAUCAUCGAGUCUUUGAACGCACAUUGCGCCCCCUGGUAUUCCGGGGGGCAUGCCUGUCCGAGCGUCAUUGCUGCCCUCAAGCACGGCUUGUGUGUUGGGCCCCCGUCCCCCUCUCCCGGGGGACGGGCCCGAAAGGCAGCGGCGGCACCGCGUCCGGUCCUCGAGCGUAUGGGGCUUUGUCACCUGCUCUGUAGGCCCGGCCGGCGCCAGCCGACACCCAACUUUAUUUUUCUAAGGUUGACCUCGGAUCAGGUAGGGAUACCCGCUGAACUUAAGCAUAUCAAUAAGGGAAAAGGGG